AACGAACGCUGGCGGCGUGCCUAACACAUGCAAGUCGAGCGCGAAUGGAGCAAUCCUAGUAGAGCGGCGCACGGGUGCGUAACACGUGGAUAAUCUGCCUGGAAGCCUGGGAUAACCAGUCGAAAGAUUGGCUAAUACCAGAUAAGCCCACAGGGACUUCGGUCCUCGAGGGAAAAGGUGGCCUCUGUAUACAAGCUAUCACUUCUAGAUGAGUCCGCGGCCCAUCAGCUAGUUGGCGGGGUAAGU
This 246-nucleotide ribosomal RNA is filed under the name uncultured bacterium. RNAcentral's name for it is "partial 16S ribosomal RNA". It matches the Rfam family "Bacterial small subunit ribosomal RNA", at positions 29 to 262 of the family's 1533-position model. The record is from RNAcentral.